GGAAAAACCGCACGACCCACGACCCUGCCCCAAUCCCAUCUUCCACCUCUAGCGCGGCGCCACCCUCGCCACACCGCCGCGCACCGCCUACCCCACCCAUGCGGCCUUCCACUGCGGACGACACUCGACGCUGCGUUCGUUGCCUGCUCCCCCAUCCCUGCUACCACGGCGCCGCUUGGACUCCAUCCCACUGCUUCCACCUCGGCAAUGGUUCCCCCAACCCCGCCGGCUUCGCCAUCCCGACGCACUCCACCACCCGUUAGACCAGUCCGCCUGGCUCCCGUGGCGACGGCGCACUCCACCACCCGUUGGACCAGUCCGCCUGGCUCCUGCGGUGAACAUCGCUGCAACCCCGCUGUCGCUUCCCACCACAGCCGAUGUCCUACUCCACCUGCGCGCCACUUCCCGACUUCCCCUUGAUGCACCGCGUGCUCUCCAGCCUCCGGCUAGCUGUGACGUGAGGUGAGCUUGGUUGCUUAGCAAAGUGUGUGCAGGCCAUAUCGCUUUAGAGGAUUGGGAGUCAAAAUCUUGCAGCUACAGGCUGUAGCUCUUCGGAUGAGAUGGGAGUGGAUGAGAAGAUCAGAUCCUAAUAUACCAUGGCAAGGAUUACUGGAAGCGGUGGAUGAUUGUGUACGUCAGCUCUUUAAUUGUUUGGUCAUAUUGAGUGAUGUGGGAGAUGGGCGUACAACUUUUUUGGACUAACAAAUGGAUGGAAGGCUUUGAUGUUAGUGAUUUUGCGCCAUCCUUACUACUGAAGAUCAGUCCGCGCAUCCUGAAUAAGUGCACAGUUUGGGAAGCUCUCCAUAACCAUCGAUGGCUGCAAGAUAUUGCUAGCAUGGCGAGGUCCAUCCGAAUGAAUAGGUUCAGCUGGGCACCUUAUGGACAGUUCUCAACUAUGUCCAACUUGACAAUGCUAGACCGGAUGUGUUUCAAUGUUCCGGUGGCACGCAUUGUGUUGGUCGUAUUCGUGUCCUUCUGUGCUGGAUACCUCACUCAGCUUUGCCAAUCUAGCCUGAGUUCCUCUUCAAGGCAAUGCUUACUAAGUUCAUUGUGUGAAAUUUACAGGAGUUAUUUGAAGAAUGGACUCACUAUGCGGCUAGAUGUUCCAAUUGGAUGCCCUUGCAAGAAGUAUUGCUGUGGUGGGUACAACGCCAUGGCCCCUCCCGCAUCAACACGCUGGUCCUCCAUAUGCAAAGGCCUAUGCAAAACUUAUAUCAUUUUUUGAACAAAGAAUGGACUCAUAUGCUAAUGUUGAUGCCCAAGUUUCCUUUGAAAGUAGUUCAAGAAUAAUAUAACACCAAUGUGGGAGGAGAAAUUGCUAUUGUUAUUCUGGUGAAAGCUGCAUUGGAGAAGAGUAUGUGCAAAAGAAAUCAUGAUGCACGGUAAGUCCUCCUGCUGAUUUCUGAACAAAAACAGUCAUGAUGCCCUCUUCGCUGCUGAUAUUCUACAAUUACUGGAGUUGCAAUUCUUGGCAUGAUCAUAUGUGUACACAAUGUGAAUAUACACGAGGUGGCAUAGCAGGAGUAGAAAAAGUGCAGCUCAAAGUGAGUGCACCUGUAUAAUUUCCUAGAAUUAUUUUCUUGGUAGAAGUUACUAUCUUCUCAUUAUGUAAUAGGAUUGUAAAUUUUGAGAAGUAGAAAUUCACAAUUAAUACCAGUGUUAUAACUUAGGAGAGGCUCAUGUGGAUCAACUGUUUUUCUCAGCCCAUGGGAGAUUGUCGGUAAGAUCAAGCCAUACCGCCCCCUUUGCACCUUGCUAUAUUGCAAGUCUUGAAAAGCCUUCUAGGUACCUGUAGAAGCAUUGUGAAGGAGGGACAAAAGUUUUCUGUUCCUUUUAUUUGGAGGUUAAACUUUGAAUGAGAACAACUUGGUCACAACACGCAUGAUGAGCUAACUAAGACUGAUUUGAUCUUCUGGUUUAGUUUUCUUCGUUAAUCCCACAUUAAUCUAUUGAAUUUACUUUGUUCACUGAUGGAUUCACAAGGAUAUGAAUAAUCAAUGAAUUAAUAUCUUUUGAGGUUAGAUUCCUGAUGCACUUAGCUAGAUAAACUAUAUUUUUAGUACAAGUUGAUUAGUGAAUUAACAUUGUGUGUUGAUGAAUAAAAUAAUAUGAAUAUUGUCAUGUUUGGCAUUUCAUCUCUCCAUGCUCUCCCAAGUGUCGCCUCCUCCCUUGAUUUAAUUUAUUAUUUAAUAAGAUUAAAAUAAUAUGCAUACAAGCAAAAACAUCCCUAAUAUAAAAAAAUGUUUGACCUGGUGGUAUGCUAUUUGAGCUCAUGUCAUGGAAUUAAAGAGGUUGAACUCAGCAGUCAAGUAUUAAUAGCAAACGACAUCAGUUCAGCAACAUGUAUUGGAAAUUUGUUAGUCAAGUAGUAUCAUGAUUAGUUCAUGAAGGUAAAGGCUUUGUAUAGGGGGUCAAGGAAUUUUCGAGGUAAUUUACACAUAGUUGAGUUGACCAAUUGUUGGGUGGAGGAGUAGGAGGAUGAAGACAACGUUUUGGCGCCUAUGGGUUGCCUCAAGGGCCUUCUUGACCUUCAUUGGCGUUCAGUAGGGCGCGUGCUCACUAAGGUUGACAUGUCCUGCUGGCUGUGGGGGCAUCAUGGUGAUGGUGGACAAUGGACAAAGAGGUGGAUCCCUGGCAGGAUCGUAUACAAUGUUUGUGUAUGCAUUGUGACGUCGGUGUGCAUUUGCAUGAUGAUGAGAUCAACUUUCUCUCCCCGUUGCAAGUCAAUUGCUUGCGUCGGUUCACCGUAACUCUCUCUUUUUUUAUGAUUGUUUCGUUCACCGUCAUCCUCUUUUUUUAUGAUCGUAUCCUAUGUUGACCCUCGCUGGUUUUCCGCUCAAUCCGUUUCUAAUGUUUGAGAUCGAACGAGAGAGACGCGAGACGAAUGAAUAGUAAGGCAAAAACGCUUGAUCUCUUUCAUUAAUGAUUAGGCUUAUAUACAAUCUGAGAGGACGCAAUAGAGAGAUGCGUCUGUUCCCGAACAACGCAUCGAGGGAUGCGAUUGUUGCGGGUGUCCAUUGGAACAAGGGGAGAUUUCCCUUUAAUUAAGUGUCAUAAUUAAAUCCUAACAAGAUCAUGUGUGUGAGCCAUGUUCCGAG
Triticum urartu is the source of this 3098-nucleotide long non-coding RNA. RefSeq lists it as uncharacterized. Lineage: Eukaryota; Viridiplantae; Streptophyta; Magnoliopsida; Poales; Poaceae. The record is from RefSeq and is a predicted model, not a curated record.